UUGAACGCUGGCGGCAGGCCUAACCCAUGCAAGUCGAGCGGAUGAAGGGAGCUUGCUCCUGGAUUCAGCGGCGGACGGGUGAGUAAUGCCUAGGAAUCUGCCUGGUAGUGGGGGAUAACGUCCGGAAAUGGGCGCUAAUACCGCAUACGUCCUGAGGGAGAAAGUGGGGGAUCUUCGGACCUCACGCUAUCAGAUGAGCCUAGGUCGGAUUAGCUAGUUGGUGGGGUAAAGGCCUACCAAGGCGACGAUCCGUAACUGGUCUGAGAGGAUGAUCAGUCACACUGGAACUGAGACACGGUCCAGACUCCUACGGGAGGCAGCAGUGGGGAAUAUUGGACAAUGGGCGAAAGCCUGAUCCAGCCAUGCCGCGUGUGUGAAGAAGGUCUUCGGAUUGUAAAGCACUUUAAGUUGGGAGGAAGGGCAGUAAGUUAAUACCUUGCUGUUUUGACGUUACCAACAGAAUAAGCACCGGCUAACUUCGUG
Molecule: ribosomal RNA, 483 nt
Filed under: uncultured bacterium
Lineage: Bacteria
Description: partial 16S ribosomal RNA
Rfam family: Bacterial small subunit ribosomal RNA
Source: RNAcentral